UAUAAUUUCAAUUUUUAUAAAUAAAUAUUGCUGUGUGAACUACACAUAAAACUACGUCAAAUCUAAAAGUUCUCCAAAUAAUUCUAACAUGGUAUUCAAUUAUUUCACACAAUAUGUAUAUUAAAUUAAAAUUCAUUGGAUAUGUAAUUAAGAUCUCAAACUAAUUUUAUCAAACAAGAGACGAAAUUAGAGAAAUUAUAAAUAGAAAAAUUGAAAUUCUUAAAUUUUUCAGCAUUAAGAUCUUAAUUGGAAUUGACCCCAAACUCCAGGAUUUUCUUUUCAUCUACGUUUAAAGGGUUCACUUGUGCCUAAUAGAGUUGAAUGGCGAAAAA
This 332-nucleotide unclassified non-coding RNA is filed under the name Hevea brasiliensis (rubber tree). Lineage: Eukaryota; Viridiplantae; Streptophyta; Magnoliopsida; Malpighiales; Euphorbiaceae. The record is from RNAcentral.